CUAAGGUUCGAUUCGAGCGCAGCGAGAAAGCGUUGCCGUAGGCAACGACCCGAAGGGCGAAGCGCGCAGCGCUGAGUAAUCCUUCCCCCGUCAUCC
This 96-nucleotide small RNA is filed under the name Salmonella enterica subsp. enterica serovar Oranienburg. RNAcentral describes it as "partial RtT sRNA". It matches the Rfam family "RtT RNA", at positions 36 to 130 of the family's 130-position model. Rfam says of the family: This family represents a bacterial cis-regulatory element known as RtT RNA. The exact function of RtT is unknown although it is thought that it may be involved in changing the cellular response in relation to amino acid starvation. The record is from RNAcentral. RNAcentral also lists the same sequence under 3 other names. Lineage: Bacteria; Pseudomonadati; Pseudomonadota; Gammaproteobacteria; Enterobacterales; Enterobacteriaceae.